Molecule: ribosomal RNA, 446 nt
Filed under: uncultured prokaryote
Description: bacterial SSU rRNA
Rfam family: Bacterial small subunit ribosomal RNA
Source: RNAcentral
UCGAGAAUCUUCGGCAAUGGGCGCAAGCCUGACCGAGCGACGCCGCGUGCGGGAUGAAGGCCUUCGGGUUGUAAACCGCUGUCAGUUGGGAGGAAAUGCAUCAGGGUUCUCUCUGGUGUUUGACCGAUCUUCAGAGGAAGGCCGGGCUAAGUUCGUGCCAGCAGCCGCGGUAAGACGAACCGGCCGAACGUUAUUCGGAAUCACUGGGCUUAAAGAGUGCGUAGGCGGCCCGGCAGGUGGGGUGUGAAAUCCCUCGGCUCAACCGAGGAACUGCGCUCCAAACCGCCAGGCUUGAGGGAGAUAGAGGUGAGCGGAACUGAUGGUGGAGCGGUGAAAUGCGUUGAUAUCAUCAGGAACACCUGUGGCGAAAGCGGCUCACUGGGUCUCUUCUGACGCUGAGGCACGAAAGCUAGGGUAGCGAACAGGAUUAGAUACCCCCGUAGUCC